UACGGAAGGUCCGGGCGUUAUCCGGAUUUAUUGGGUUUAAAGGGAGCGCAGGCUGGAGGUUAAGCGUGACGUGAAAUGUAGCCGCUCAACGGCUGCACUGCGUCGCGAACUGGCCUUCUUGAGUGAGUGCGACGUCAGCGGAAUUCGUGGUGUAGCGGUGAAAUGCUUAGAUAUCACGAAGAACCCCGAUUGCGAAGGCAGCUGACGAGUCCUUAACUGACGCUAAAGCUCGAAGGUGCGGGUAU
RNAcentral lists this ribosomal RNA (245 nucleotides) under uncultured Prevotella sp. Its description in RNAcentral is "partial 16S ribosomal RNA". It matches the Rfam family "Bacterial small subunit ribosomal RNA", at positions 524 to 768 of the family's 1533-position model. The record is from RNAcentral. Lineage: Bacteria; Pseudomonadati; Bacteroidota; Bacteroidia; Bacteroidales; Prevotellaceae.